UUUAAAGAGAGUUUGAUCCUGGCUCAGGACGAACGCUGGCGGCGUGCCUAAUACAUGCAAGUCGAACGAACGGAGGAAGAGCUUGCUCUUCCAAAGUUAGUGGCGGACGGGUGAGUAACACGUGGGCAACCUGCCUGUAAGUUGGGGAUAACUCCGGGAAACCGGGGCUAAUACCGAAUGAUAAAGUGUGGCGCAUGCCACGCUUUUGAAAGAUGGUUUCGGCUAUCGCUUACAGAUGGGCCCGCGGUGCAUUAGCUAGUUGGUAGGGUAAUGGCCUACCAAGGCAACGAUGCAUAGCCGACCUGAGAGGGUGAUCGGCCACACUGGGACUGAGACACGGCCCAGACUCCUACGGGAGGCAGCAGUAGGGAAUCUUCCGCAAUGGACGAAAGUCUGACGGAGCAACGCCGCGUGUAUGAAGAAGGUUUUCGGAUCGUAAAGUACUGUUGUUAGAGAAGAACAAGGAUAAGAGUAACUGCUUGUCCCUUGACGGUAUCUAACCAGAAAGCCACGGCUAACUACGUGCCAGCAGCCGCGGUAAUACGUAGGUGGCAAGCGUUGUCCGGAUUUAUUGGGCGUAAAGCGCGCGCAGGCGGUCUUUUAAGUCUGAUGUGAAAGCCCCCGGCUUAACCGGGGAGGGUCAUUGGAAACUGGAAGACUGGAGUGCAGAAGAGGAGAGUGGAAUUCCACGUGUAGCGGUGAAAUGCGUAGAUAUGUGGAGGAACACCAGUGGCGAAGGCGACUCUCUGGUCUGUAACUGACGCUGAGGCGCGAAAGCGUGGGGAGCAAACAGGAU
RNAcentral lists this ribosomal RNA (796 nucleotides) under Listeria monocytogenes. RNAcentral describes it as "bacterial SSU rRNA". It matches the Rfam family "Bacterial small subunit ribosomal RNA", at positions 1 to 778 of the family's 1533-position model. Lineage: Bacteria; Bacillati; Bacillota; Bacilli; Caryophanales; Listeriaceae. The record is from RNAcentral.